RNAcentral lists this microRNA precursor (80 nucleotides) under Hymenobacter latericoloratus. RNAcentral's name for it is "microRNA MIR1846". Lineage: Bacteria; Pseudomonadati; Bacteroidota; Cytophagia; Cytophagales; Hymenobacteraceae. The record is from RNAcentral.
UUGUCAUUCCGAACGCAGCGAGGAAUCUGGGGUAGCCUGUCGUGAUAAACCCAGAUUCCUCGCUGCGUUCGGAAUGACAA